RNAcentral lists this ribosomal RNA (1083 nucleotides) under bacterium. RNAcentral describes it as "bacterial SSU rRNA". It matches the Rfam family "Bacterial small subunit ribosomal RNA", at positions 315 to 1373 of the family's 1533-position model. The record is from RNAcentral.
GGCACUGAGACACGGGCCCUACUCCUACGGGAGGCAGCAGUGGGGAAUCUUGGACAAUGGGCGAAAGCCUGAUCCAGCGACGCCGCGUGGGGGACGAAGCCCUUCGGGGUGUAAACCCCUGUUGCGAGGGAGGAAUAAGACCUGGAGGAAAUGCCAGGUCGAUGACUGUACCUCGCGAGAAAGCCCCGGCUAACUACGUGCCAGCAGCCGGCGAGUAACUACGUAGGGGGUCGAGCGUUACCCGGAUUCACUGGGUCGUAAAUGGGGGUGUAGGCGGACUCGGUAAGUCGGGUGUGAAAUCCCACCGGCUCAACCGUGGAAUUGCGCCCGAAACUGCCGAGCUUGGGGCCGGUAGAGGGAGACGGAACUGCCGGUGUAGGGGUGAAAUCCGUAGAUAUCGGCAGGAACGCCGGUGGGGAAGCCGGUCUCCUGGGCCGCGCCCGACGCUGAGGCCCGAAAGCUAGGGGAGCAAACCGGAUUAGAUACCCGGGUAGUCCUAGCCGUAAACGAUGCCCACUAGGUGUGGGGGAGUAUUUCCUCCGUGCUGUAGCUAACGCGUUAAGUGGGCCGCCUGGGGAGUACGCCCGCAAGGGUGAAACUCAAAGGAAUUGGCGGGACCCCGCACAAGCGGUGGAGCGCGUGGUUUAACUUGGAUGCUGAGCCAAGAACCUUACCAAGGCUUGACAUGCAGGUGGUACUGACCCGAAAGGGGAGGGACCCCAUCCUUUUGGGUGGGGAGCCUGCACAGGUGGUGCACGGCCGUCGUCAGCUCGUGCCGUGAGGUGUUGGGUUAAGUCCCGCAACGAGCGCAACCCCUGCCCUUAGUUGCCAUCGGUUCGGCCGGGCACUCUAAGGGGACUGCCGGCGACGAGCCGGAGGAAGGAGGGGACGACGUCAGGUACUCGUGCCCUUUAUGCCCUGGGCUACACACGCGCUACAAUGGGUGGUACAGUGGGUUGCGACCCCGCGAGGGGGAGCCAAUCCCUAAAACCACCCCCAGUUCGGAUCGCAGGCUGCAACCCGCCUGCGUGAAGCCGGAAUCGCUAGUAAUCGCGGAUCAGCCACGCCGCGGUGAAUACGUUC